UGAUAUAGCUCAGUCGGUAGAGCGCAUCCUUGGUAAGGAUGAGGUCGGCGGUUCAAAUCCGCCUAUCA
This 68-nucleotide transfer RNA is filed under the name bovine gut metagenome. It matches the Rfam family "tRNA". Rfam says of the family: Transfer RNA (tRNA) molecules are approximately 80 nucleotides in length. Their secondary structure includes four short double-helical elements and three loops (D, anti-codon, and T loops). Further hydrogen bonds mediate the characteristic L-shaped molecular structure. tRNAs have two regions of fundamental functional importance: the anti-codon, which is responsible for specific mRNA codon recognition, and the 3' end, to which the tRNAs corresponding amino acid is attached (by aminoacyl-tRNA synthetases). tRNAs cope with the degeneracy of the genetic code in two manners: having more than one tRNA (with a specific anti-codon) for a particular amino acid; and 'wobble' base-pairing, i.e. permitting non-standard base-pairing at the 3rd anti-codon position. The record is from RNAcentral.